This is a non-coding RNA of Ictidomys tridecemlineatus (thirteen-lined ground squirrel), 292 nucleotides long. The record is from RefSeq and is a predicted model, not a curated record. Lineage: Eukaryota; Metazoa; Chordata; Mammalia; Rodentia; Sciuridae.
CAGCUAAGGAAGAAAGUCUGAGUGAAGAGCAGAAGAAGAAGUUUGAAGAGCUGACGGUGGAAAAGAACAUUCCAACGGAAAACAUAAGAAAUGUUAUUGAAACUGAUGACUGUCCUGCUGUUUAAGGACAUUACCUGAUGAGCAGACACUUGAGAUCCUAAUGAGAUCAAGAAUGUUUGCAACAUCAUCUUCUCAAGGGCUCAGAAAUCAUCACUAUGAAGAUAAAAUGCCCUUCUCUUAUUAAAAUUAUAAUUUCUUUAUUUCUGUAACAUUGCAAACCCUGUCUAAGGGA